This 460-nucleotide ribosomal RNA is filed under the name uncultured bacterium. Its description in RNAcentral is "partial 16S ribosomal RNA". It matches the Rfam family "Bacterial small subunit ribosomal RNA", at positions 338 to 795 of the family's 1533-position model. The record is from RNAcentral.
CCUACGGGGGGCUGCAGUGAGGAAUAUUGGUCAAUGGUCGUAAGACUGAACCAGCCAAGUAGCGUGCAGGAUGACGGCCCUACGGGUUGUAAACUGCUUUUAUGCGGGAAUAACGCGCCUUACGUGUAGGGCUUUGCAUGUACCGUAUGAAUAAGGACCGGCUAAUUCCGUGCCAGCAGCCGCGGUAAUACGGAAGGUCCGGGCGUUAUCCGGAUUUAUUGGGUUUAAAGGGAGCGUAGGCCGCAUGUCAAGCGUGCCGUGAAAUGCCGGGGCUCAACCCGGGCCUUGCAGCGCGAACUGGCGUGCUUGAGUCCGCGGAAAGCAGGCGGAAUUCGUGGUGUAGCGGUGAAAUGCUUAGAUAUGACGAAGAACCCCGAUUGCGAAGGCAGCAUGCUGCAGCGGUACUGACGCUGAUGCUCGAAGGCGCGGGUAUCGAACAGGAUUAGAUACCCUAGUAGUC